Xyrichtys novacula (pearly razorfish) is the source of this 1175-nucleotide non-coding RNA. Lineage: Eukaryota; Metazoa; Chordata; Actinopteri; Labriformes; Labridae. The record is from the annotation of a GenBank genome assembly.
CAAAAUGAUAAAGGAAUGAUCAUAAAUGUUCUUCCUUGAGCUGCGUCACCCCGCAGCAGUCCGUAAUAGACUGGCCUGAGGUCUCGCUACAAACAAGCGGCGGCUGGAAGAGAGUAGGUGAGUUGCGUUUAGUCUCUUUGCUAAAGAAAUUAGGCAAAGUUAAAAAGAUGCUUGGUGGCUAGUCCUUUGGCUAGGACCCUAUAUGUACUGUUGGUGAAGUUAGGUGCUGUUCUGAGCAUUAUUUGUGGAUAUAGAGUGGCUUUUUGGUUGAGGUUUGUUGAUGGCUCCUCAGACUGCUGUGUAUUGCUAUCCUGCAGUAGUUACUUAAGUUGGUAAAACUAGAGAAGCAAGCGGUCGGCAACAUUCAUCUCUCAAGGGGUGUCUAACUCUGUGUUACUGUGUGUUUGACCCUAAAUUAAUUUUACGCUGGAAUAUCCCUUUAAGACGUGCACCACACACUGUUUGGUUAAAGCUUCUCCUUUGGGGAACUGUAAAAGUACAAUUAAAGAAAGGUCACACAUGCACACUGUGUCGAGUACAGCAAAUUUUUCAUUCAUCUAAGCAUACAAACUACAGUAUGUAGGAGAUACACACCAUUGUAUCAGUAAGUUAUUCUAGCUGGUCAGAACUGAGAUAUGACAGGGUUAAUCAAGCCAAAUGAGGGCCAUGUUGUCACUCUGUUUGUUCAUUUUGAUGAUGACUGUUUCCUGUUUUAAUUUGGUGCGUACUCUUUUCUCUUUCUUCCAGAUCCUGCUCCUCAUGUUUUCCAGCUUGAAGCUCUCCUACCCUGAUCGUGCUCACUUGUGUCUCAUUCUCCACUGAUUGUCUGAGUAUUUAAUCCCUGUGUGCUCUCCCUCAUGUUACCAGUUUGUAGUCGGUUUCCCUGUGUUGCCUCAGCCCAGCCUUUAUUUAUUUUUUCUCCUAGUGAGUGUUCUUGUGUUUGACCUCUGCCUUUAACUGCUCUUUUGGAUUUAUUAGCCCUGUGGACUGAGUACCUGUGCUCUGAUCUGGAUAUUUUAUGUAACUCUGCCUUCUUGAACUCUGCCCUGUGUGAUUGUUAUCAGAUGAGGGUGAGCAGAUCAUGCCUUACUCCUAAGGUGUUCUUCUGUCAUAGCUUCCUGGUCACUAUACAUGAUUUUACUUAUUAAACGACUACUCACCAGAUGUAUCAACAA